CAGAAUAUGUGAUGAUCUCACCCUAAGUUGAACUCUCUCACUGAUUAUGUGAUGAUGCUCAAGGAUCUGAUAUUCUG
This 77-nucleotide small nucleolar RNA is filed under the name Catagonus wagneri (Chacoan peccary). RNAcentral describes it as "Small nucleolar RNA SNORD81 (ENSCWAG00000018640.1)". It matches the Rfam family "Small nucleolar RNA SNORD81". From Rfam's summary of the family: U81 is a member of the C/D class of snoRNA which contain the C (UGAUGA) and D (CUGA) box motifs. U81 acts as a guanine methylation guide and is found in intron 11 of the gas5 gene in mammals. Lineage: Eukaryota; Metazoa; Chordata; Mammalia; Artiodactyla; Tayassuidae. The record is from Rfam by way of RNAcentral.